RNAcentral lists this ribosomal RNA (453 nucleotides) under uncultured bacterium. Its description in RNAcentral is "bacterial SSU rRNA". It matches the Rfam family "Bacterial small subunit ribosomal RNA", at positions 340 to 784 of the family's 1533-position model. The record is from RNAcentral.
UACGGGAGGCAGCAGUGGGGAAUAUUGCACAAUGGGCGAAAGCCUGAUGCAGCUAUGCCGCGUGUAUGAAGAAGGCCUUAGGGUUGUAAAGUACUUUCAUCGGGGAGGAAAAACAAAACUAAUAAUUUUAUUUCUUGACGUUACCCGAAAAAGAAGCACCGGCUAACUCCGUGCCAGCAGCCGCGGUAAUACGGAGGGUGCUAGCGUUAAUCAGAAUUACUGGGCGUAAAGAGCACGUAGGUGGUUUUUUUAAGUCAGAUGUGAAAUCCCUGGGCUUAACCUAGGAACUGCAUUUUGAAACUGAAAUACUAGAGUAUCGUAGAGGGAGGUAGAAUUCUAGGUGUAGCGGUGAAAUGCGUAGAUAUCUGGAGGAAUACCUGUGGCGAAAGCGGCCUCCUAAACGAAUACUGACACUGAGGUGCGAAAGCGUGGGGAGCAAACGAGGAUUAGAUA